UGAUAGUCCAUGAAGUGACGUGCCCAGAGU
This 30-nucleotide non-coding RNA is filed under the name Mus musculus (house mouse). Lineage: Eukaryota; Metazoa; Chordata; Mammalia; Rodentia; Muridae. The record is from RNAcentral.